Bos taurus (domestic cattle) is the source of this 1786-nucleotide long non-coding RNA. The record is from Ensembl. Lineage: Eukaryota; Metazoa; Chordata; Mammalia; Artiodactyla; Bovidae.
GUGUGUGUUCAGAAUCAGACCCUCCCCAAAUGGUUUUAGAAACAAGGGAAGGCUUGGUGUCUGUCUCUUCUUUUCUUUCUUUAAAAAUAAUAGAUAAUUAAAGCACGUGGCAGAUGAAUAGCAUUUGUCAAGAGUCUCUGCUUAAAGUGGGUGGAGGGGAAGUCUUUGAUUCUUAGCAGUAAUUUGGGUCUGGGGCAGCAAGCUUUCAGUUCAUGAGGCUAUUGAUAAACUAUUGAUGACCACUGGCUCCAAAACUGGGAAAGUCAGAAAUAAAAGGAUGUGCAGACAGAGUGGGGAUCUAGCAGUGGGUUUCCUUCUGAACCACCACUUUCUAAGUAAAGAAAGAAAGGGGCCAAAAAACAAGGGCUCAGCUGGCCUUUUUAACCAGAGGAGUGCAUACAUGACAAAGAAUAAGUAAAUUAAAAAAUACAAGCCCAAACUGCCAAUUUUGGCAAGUCCACAGACUUGCUUUCUAAGUACAUGUGGCAGGGUCCCCAGAGAGUGAGUUACUAAAAUGUUGGCAUGCGUCCUGGGAGGGCUGCAGAGAAAACAGUCACUUCCACAGCCCUCUUCUGUCACUGCCCAUCGGGAACGCUGGCCUAAAUGAGCUACUUGGCUUGGUCACGUAGGAACGUGUGCCCAGGUUCCACCUGUUACUCAACACUCCCACCAGGGCAGCAGGCAGUAACCAAGAAAGGAAACAGGAGGAGAAAGAAGGGGUUACAACAGAUGCAGAACCAGGAGUUGACUUCUCCAUCAGGCUCCCACCCAGCAUCUUUGGAGCAGGUUUGGAGCUGCGGGUGAGCUGGGUGCAGUGCAGUUGAAGCAGGAGGAAGACGGCUGUGGAUGAAUCUAGAAAUCGUGGGUCAGACUCAGGGAGCGGAUGGCCCAGAUGCAGCCAAACACAGAAACCGGAGGAGAGAGGCAUGGGGGAGCCUGACAGGAAGUGAGGAUUCUGGGACUUCAAAUACACACAUUAGAAAAAACAAGCAACAUCUGCAAACAGUUCCAUUCUUUCAUCGAAGACACUCUUGCAAAGGCACUUCCUGGACAGUUGCGUGUAACGGAGCAAUCUCCAAGCAGUGGGAAAUCAGAGACACCGAACUGUUAGCACCCUUAAUAUUUGGUUUCCCUUGUAGUUCAGCUGGCAAAGAGCCUGCUUGCAAUGCAGGAGACCCGGGUUCAAUUCCUAGGUUGGGAAGAUCCCCUGGAGAAGGAAAUGGCAACUCACUCCAGUGUUCUUGCCUGGAGAAUCCCAAGGACAGAGGGGCCUGGCGGACUGCAGUCCAUGGGGUCGCAAGAGUUGGACACAACUUAGCGGCUAAACCACAACCACAAUAUUGGUUAAUUCUGCAUCAUGAUUUCAGAAUUGAUUCUGGAAGACUCUUCUGGCUCCUCUACACCCUAGGUGCCUAGGCCAUUGGGUGACCUACUUUAUUUAGAAGGGGAUGGGGGAAAGGACCCUGACAUAGAAGCAGACAAUUGAUGCCUGCCUCGGCAACAUGUAAACAAAAUCCACGCACCUUGCCCUGGGGAUCGCCUUGGUAGUAUCUAGUUUGACAGAAUUUGCCAUUCAGCAUCUCGCGGACCAGGCGCCUCAACCUGCUAGAAAUUCUAGAGGGAAAAAUCACGCCUGAAUGACUGCUGUCUGUGGCCUGUGGAAUCCUAAAUAGAAUGAAGCAGGCCUCCGACAAUCAAUAUUACUGACAUAUUAAUCUCUGUGAAUAAACUGUUGUGCACUUUAAGGCUGUCCCAGUCCUCCCAAAUAAUCUUUUAAAUGCAGUGG